UGAGAUGAAUGAUAAAGAAUAGAGUAUUUUGAGAUUUGUUCAAGUUGAUGAAUAACAGAUGAUAGAGUGCUUUGAGAUCCAUACAAAUAGAUGGAUAACAGAGGAUGGAGUAUUUUGAUAUCUAUAUAGGUGGAUGGAUGAUAUGGAGCGCUUUAAGAUUUAUGCAGAUGGAUGGUUCAUAUAAGGCUUUGAGAUCUAUACCGAUAGAUAAAUAACAAAAGAUGGAGACUUUUGAGAUCUGUGCAGGUAGAUGGAUAAAUAGAGAAUGAAGUGCUUUGAAAACUAUACAAAUGGAUGAACGACAAACAAUAAAGUUUGUUGAGAUACCUCAGGAACAUAGAUAAUAGAGGAUGACAGCUGUGAAAUCUAUACUGGUGGAUGAAUGAUAUGUAGGAUAGAUUGCUUUGAGACCUAUAUAGGAGGAUAAAUGAUAGAGUAUAGAAUGUUUUGAUAUCUGUGUAAGUGAUGGAUGAUAGGAUAGAGUCUUUUGAUAUCCAUUCAGGCAGAUAAAUAAUAGAGAAUAGAGC
This 527-nucleotide long non-coding RNA is filed under the name Elaeis guineensis (African oil palm). Its description in RNAcentral is "long non-coding RNA (EGUI_LNC024585)". Lineage: Eukaryota; Viridiplantae; Streptophyta; Magnoliopsida; Arecales; Arecaceae. The record is from RNAcentral.